AUGUCCAGAAGAAACGAUAGUAGAAAUGUAGAAAGGAUAUAUGUGCUUGAUGCCAUGGAGGAAUGCUUCACACUGGCCGGCAGUCAGCUACAUCUUCUCAACCAAGCUUUUCUGGCCCUCCUUCCUAAGAAAGACUCCCCACUGGACUUAGACAAUUUCCGCCCGAUAAGCCUUGUGCACAGCUUUCCCAAGCUUCUUCUUGCAAAGGUGCUCGCCUUAGCCGAUUUCCGCCCGGUAAGCGUUGUGCACAACUUCCCCAAGCUUCUUGCAAAGGUGCUCGCCUUAGCCGAUUUCUGCCCGAUAAGCCUUGUGCACACCUUGCCCAAGCUUCUGGCAAAGGUAAUCUCCUUAGCUGCUUCUUGCAAAGGUGCUCACGAAUCGACUAGCCCAACGUCUCUAUGA
Molecule: ribosomal RNA, 402 nt
Filed under: Triticum aestivum (bread wheat)
Lineage: Eukaryota; Viridiplantae; Streptophyta; Magnoliopsida; Poales; Poaceae
Description: partial small subunit ribosomal RNA
Source: RNAcentral